UACGUAGGGGGCGAGCGUUGUCCGGAAUUAUUGGGCGUAAAGAGCUCGUAGGCGGUGUGUUACGUCGGCCGUGAAAACCUGCAGCUUAACUGUGGGCGUGCGGUCGAUACGGGCAUCACUGGAGUUCGGCAGGGGAGACUGGAAUUCCUGGUGUAGCGGUGAAAUGCGCAGAUAUCAGGAGGAACACCGGUGGCGAAGGCGGGUCUCUGGGCCGUAACUGACGCUGAGGAGCGAAAGCGUGGGGAGCGAACAGG
This 254-nucleotide ribosomal RNA is filed under the name uncultured bacterium. Its description in RNAcentral is "partial 16S ribosomal RNA". It matches the Rfam family "Bacterial small subunit ribosomal RNA", at positions 524 to 776 of the family's 1533-position model. The record is from RNAcentral.